This 414-nucleotide ribosomal RNA is filed under the name uncultured microorganism. RNAcentral's name for it is "bacterial SSU rRNA". It matches the Rfam family "Archaeal small subunit ribosomal RNA", at positions 330 to 745 of the family's 1478-position model. The record is from RNAcentral.
GUGCAGCAGGCGCGAAUACUUUACAAUGUGCGAAAGCACGAUAAGGGAACUCUGAGUGCCUCCUAAGGAGGCUGUUCAGGUGUCUAAAAAGCACCUGAAGGAAGGGCUGGGUAAGACCGGUGCCAGCCGCCGCGGUAACACCGGCAGCCCAAGUGGUAGCCACGUUUAUUGGGUCUAAAGCGUCCGUAGCCGGCUGGGUAAGUUCCUUGGGAAAUUUGGCUGCUUAACAGUCAAGCUUUCAGGGAAUACUGCCCGGCUUGGGGACCGGGAGAGGUCAGAGGUACUCCAGGGGUAGGGGUGAAAUCCAUUAAAUCCCUUGGGGGACCACCGGUAGCGAAGGCGUCUGACCAGACCGGGUCCGACGGUGAGGGACGAAGGCUAGGGGCGCGAACCGGAUUAGGAUACCCGUGUAGU